RNAcentral lists this ribosomal RNA (253 nucleotides) under uncultured bacterium. RNAcentral describes it as "partial 16S ribosomal RNA". It matches the Rfam family "Bacterial small subunit ribosomal RNA", at positions 524 to 776 of the family's 1533-position model. The record is from RNAcentral.
UACAGAGGGGGCAAGCGUUGUUCGGAAUUACUGGGCGUAAAGGGCGCGUAGGCGGUCAGGUCAGUCCCGUGUGAAAUCCCUCGGCUCAACUGAGGAACUGCACGGGAAACUGCCUGGCUUGAGUUCGGGAGAGGGAAGCGGAAUUCCGGGUGUAGCGGUGAAAUGCGUAGAUAUCCGGAGGAACACCGGUGGCGAAGGCGGCUUCCUGGACCGACACUGACGCUGAGGCGCGAAAGCUAGGGGAGCAAACGGG